AGUGGCGGACGGGUGAGUAACGCGUGAGAAUCUGCCUUGGGGUCGGGGACAACCACUGGAAACGGUGGCUAAUACCGGAUAAGCCGAUUGGUGAAAGAUUUAUUGCCCGAAGAGGAGCUCGCGUCUGAUUAGCUAGUUGGUGAGGUAAGAGCUCACCAAGGCAGCGAUCAGUAGCUGGUCUGAGAUGACGAUCAGCCACACUGGGACUGAGACACGGCCCAGACUCCUACGGGAGGCAGCAGUGGGGAAUUUUCCGCAAUGGGCGAAAGCCUGACGGAGCAAGACCGCGUGAGGGAGGAAGGCUCUUGGGUUGUAAACCUCUUUUCUCAGGGAAGAAGCUCUGACGGUACCUGAGGAAUCAGCCUCGGCUAACUCCGUGCCAGCAGCCGCGGUAAUACGGAGGAGGCAAGCGUUAUCCGGAAUUAUUGGGCGUAAAGCGUCCGCAGGUGGCGAUUCAAGUCUGCUGUCAAAGCACGGGGCUUAACUCCGUAAAGGCAGUGGAAACUGAAUAGCUAGAGUGCCGUAGGGGUAGAGGGAAUUCCCGGUGUAGCGGUGAAAUGCGUAGAGAUCGGGAAGAACAUCGGUGGCGAAAGCGCUCUACUGGACGGCAACUGACACUCAGGGACGAAAGCUAGGGGAGCGAAUGGGAUUAGAUACCCC
This 660-nucleotide ribosomal RNA is filed under the name uncultured bacterium. RNAcentral describes it as "bacterial SSU rRNA". It matches the Rfam family "Bacterial small subunit ribosomal RNA", at positions 94 to 788 of the family's 1533-position model. The record is from RNAcentral.